GCAUGAGAUAGCGAGCGAGUGUGCGUGCACGUGCGCGCGUCUCGGGGGAGUUAUGUGGCAUCGUGUAUGUGUGUGUGUGCGAGAGAGAGAGAGGAAGGAGAGAGAGAGCGCGCGCGCGUUAGGGAACGUGCAGAGAGAAACAUCUACAGGCUAUUCUUAGCUGCAGACAUUUGGAAAUUAAUGGACAGAGUUCUCCCUCCCCCGUCUCUCGCUCUUCCACCCCCGUUCCUCACUCUCUCUGGAUCCGAGCCGAUGCUAGUGCUCUUCCCUCUCGCCCUCUCCCUUCAGUCCGGCAUGCAUGUCACUAAUGCUCAAGGUACGGCCGUCCCUAAUGUCCCUCGUCCAUUGCCAUUGCCGGGCAUUCUGAAAUCAAAUGCACAACUCAGGCUACAUGAUGUGUAAAUGAAAUUGAGUCUAUAUAUGCCUAAAAAGACCCUGUGACUAUAUGAAUGAUAUGAAUAUGGAUUUGUGGUUUCUACUGCUCUUCGUGUUGGGUUGGUGCUGCUCUUUUUGAGAACAGAACGGAAGUGGCGUAGCAGCCCUCCAAACCUCGGUCCAGUGUGAUCUAUUAUAGGUUUUAAUUGAUUGCCGCCCGAAAUAGCCGCCGCUUUGAAUGGUAAAUGAUCAAGAGGACAUGGACUUAAGGGCGACCUGCGAAUUAGUCCAUAUCUGCAGUCAUCAUCUGGUCAAUGUAUAAACUUGAUGGUGAGACAACGUUCUUGUGGGAGAAAGAAGACGACCUAUAUUGGCGCGACAUUAACUGUUAUCGCUUAUCGGGUAUCACAUGAAGCGUGGAUCAAUGUUUUCUUCAGAUGUGCCUUCAGCGGUGAGAGACCCACUGUCAGGAUCUAGGUCUAACAAGGUUGUCUCUAUACACUGUACACUGUCAUUCUUUUGGUGGAAACCCUUUACUUGAACCAUUCGAGUAACCCAACUCAAAGUAUUGCAGUGUUCAAUACUUAUAGUAAUAAAGUGACAUCACCACCCAUAUGGUUAUCUUUUAAAGUUGUAAAUACUUAACUGUUUUGUGUUCUAUUAACUUAUUUGCGUUAUGUAUUCUGAACUAUAACGAUUGAAGUUACUUGAAUAUGAAUAUUUGUUGUAGUGAACAUAACAAUUUAGGGUCCCUUCUACUUAAAUUAUCAACAUUCAUUAGUAAUUGUUUUCAAGUGUUCUGAUUAGUCCUUUUCAGUGGUCGUGUCUUAAUGUUUAACAUUGUUUUAUGUAUUUGAUGAUUUGUCAUUAUAAUCCACCUUACCAGUCAUUGUUGAGCACAGUGCUCAUCCCUCUAGCAGUAACUGGAGGUAGAGCUGUAACCAGUCAUUGUUGAGCACAGUGCUCAUCCCUCUAGCAGUAACUGGAGGUAGAGCUGUAACCAGUCAUUGUUGAGCACAGUGCUCAUCCCUCUAGCAGUAACUGUAGGCAGAGAUGUAACCAGUCAUUGUUGACCACAGUGCUCAUUCCUCUAGCAGUAACUGGAG
RNAcentral lists this long non-coding RNA (1481 nucleotides) under Salmo salar (Atlantic salmon). RNAcentral's name for it is "lncRNA (ENSSSAG00000097626.1)". The record is from RNAcentral. Lineage: Eukaryota; Metazoa; Chordata; Actinopteri; Salmoniformes; Salmonidae.